GCAGUGGAUACGGGCAGGCUAGAGUCAGGUAGGGGAGAACGGAAUUCCUGGUGUAGCGGUGAAAUGCGCAGAUAUCAGGGGGAACACCGGUGGCGAAGGCGGUUCUCUGGGCCUGUACUGACGCUGAGGAACGAAAGCGUGGGGAGCGAACAGGAUUAGAUACCCUGGUAGUCCACGCCGUAAACGGUGGGCGCUAGAUGUGGGGACCUUCCACGGUUUCUGCGUCGCAGCUAACGCAU
Molecule: ribosomal RNA, 239 nt
Filed under: uncultured bacterium
Lineage: Bacteria
Description: partial 16S ribosomal RNA
Rfam family: Bacterial small subunit ribosomal RNA
Source: RNAcentral